AGUGAACGCUGGCGGUAGGCCUAACACAUGCAAGUCGAACGGCAGCACAGUAAGAGCUUGCUCUUACGGGUGGCGAGUGGCGGACGGGUGAGGAAUACAUCGGAAUCUACUUUUUCGUGGGGGAUAACGUAGGGAAACUUACGCUAAUACCGCAUACGACCUACGGGUGAAAGCAGGGGAUCUUCGGACCUUGCGCGAUUGAAUGAGCCGAUGUCGGAUUAGCUAGUUGGCGGGGUAAAGGCCCACCAAGGCGACGAUCCGUAGCUGGUCUGAGAGGAUGAUCAGCCACACUGGAACUGAGACACGGACCAGACUCCUACGGGAGGCAGCAGUGGAGAAUAUUGGACAAUGGGCGCAAGCCUGAUCCAGCCAUACCGCGUGGGUGAAGAAGGCCUUCGGGUUGUAAAGCCCUUUUGUUGGGAAAGAAAAGCAGCAGGUUAAUACCCCGCUGUUCUGACGGUACCCAAAGAAUAAGCACCGGCUAACUUCGUG
Molecule: ribosomal RNA, 492 nt
Filed under: uncultured bacterium
Lineage: Bacteria
Description: partial 16S ribosomal RNA
Rfam family: Bacterial small subunit ribosomal RNA
Source: RNAcentral